RNAcentral lists this non-coding RNA (214 nucleotides) under Acetonema longum DSM 6540. Its description in RNAcentral is "Enterococcus sRNA 1300". It matches the Rfam family "Enterococcus sRNA 1300". Rfam says of the family: Expressed in mid and late exponential phases of growth. Lineage: Bacteria; Bacillati; Bacillota; Negativicutes; Acetonemataceae. The record is from Rfam by way of RNAcentral.
UUGCAUUCCAUUCGUAUUAGAUAAGCUAGCAAUAAAAAAGCGAUAAAACCAUCCACAAUUGUGGGCUUUUUUGUUGUGCUUACUUUACGAAUUAGGACAUGGAUACUGGUGAGGAAUAGCCUUUGGUGGCUAUCCCUUUUUCCGGCGUGUCUUUUUUUCGUUGAUUAUGCAGACCAAAGCCCGCAUUGCGGACUUGUUGGCCUGCAUUUUUUAU